GCCGAGGUGGUGGAACUGGCAGACACGCAGCGUUGAGGGCGCUGUGGACAUUUCCGUCCGUGCGGGUUCGAAUCCCGCCCUCGGCA
RNAcentral lists this transfer RNA (86 nucleotides) under Halothermothrix orenii H 168. It matches the Rfam family "tRNA". Rfam says of the family: Transfer RNA (tRNA) molecules are approximately 80 nucleotides in length. Their secondary structure includes four short double-helical elements and three loops (D, anti-codon, and T loops). Lineage: Bacteria; Bacillati; Bacillota; Clostridia; Halanaerobiales; Halothermotrichaceae. The record is from Rfam by way of RNAcentral.